GUGGGGAAUAUUGGACAAUGGGCGAAAGCCUGAUCCAGCCAUGCCGCGUGAGUGAUGAAGGCCUUAGGGUUGUAAAGCUCUUUUGUCCGGGAAGAUAAUGACUGUACCGGAAGAAUAAGCCCCGGCUAACUUCGUGCCAGCAGCCGCGGUAAUACGAAGGGGGCUAGCGUUGCUCGGAAUCACUGGGCGUAAAGGGCGCGUAGGCGGACUUUUAAGUCGGAGGUGAAAGCCCAGGGCUCAACCCUGGAAUUGCCUUCGAUACUGGGAGUCUUGAGUUCGGAAGAGGUUGGUGGAACUGCGAGUGUAGAGGUGAAAUUCGUAGAUAUUCGCAAGAACACCGGUGGCGAAGGCGGCCAACUGGUCCGAAACUGACGCUGAGGCGCGAAAGCGUGGGGAGCAAACAGGAUUAGAAACCCCUGUAGUCC
Molecule: ribosomal RNA, 425 nt
Filed under: uncultured bacterium
Lineage: Bacteria
Description: partial 16S ribosomal RNA
Rfam family: Bacterial small subunit ribosomal RNA
Source: RNAcentral